RNAcentral lists this ribosomal RNA (468 nucleotides) under uncultured bacterium. RNAcentral's name for it is "partial 16S ribosomal RNA". It matches the Rfam family "Bacterial small subunit ribosomal RNA", at positions 28 to 507 of the family's 1533-position model. The record is from RNAcentral.
GACGAACGCUGGCGGCGUGCUUAACACAUGCAAGUCGAACGGAAAGGCCCUGCUUUUGUGGGGUGCUCGAGUGGCGAACGGGUGAGUAACACGUGAGUAACCUGCCCUUGACUUUGGGAUAACUUCAGGAAACUGGGGCUAAUACCGGAUAGGAGCUCCUGCUGCAUGGUGGGGGUUGGAAAGUUUCGGCGGUUGGGGAUGGACUCGCGGCUUAUCAGCUUGUUGGUGGGGUAGUGGCUUACCAAGGCUUUGACGGGUAGCCGGCCUGAGAGGGUGACCGGCAACAUUGGGACUGAGAUACGGCCCAGACUCCUACGGGAGGCAGCAGUGGGGAAUAUUGCACAAUGGGCGGAAGCCUGAUGCAGCAACGCCGCGUGCGGGAUGACGGCCUUCGGGUUGUAAACCGCUUUCGCCUGUGACGAAGCGUGAGUGACGGUAAUGGGUAAAGAAGCACCGGCUAACUACGGG